AGUUCGAAAAUAGAUAAAAUUUAUUAUAGAAAAAAAAUAAAUAGCAAACACAUCUAAAUUCUUAUAGAGAAAUUGUUAGAAAUACCACAAGUUAAUUUCUACUUGUAAAAAAUACCACCAAUCAAAAAAUAUACUAACAUUUGUGUUUAGGCAUUAGUGAUUAUUGUUUAGGUUUUAGUAUGAAAUGAUUGGGGUUGAUUUUAUAAAUGUUCUAUAAAUAUUUAAAAAAUUAGCUUAGUGUUAUUUUAUCAUAAAUUUAGGGUAUUUGUGAAAAUAGUCAUUUAUUAAUGGUAAAUUUGAAAAGUGGUAUCAAACUUGUGGUAGAAUUGAAAUUUCCCUAUUCUUAUACAUGAAAUCACAUAUUUAGUUAUGAUAAAAAAAAAAUUAAAUUAACACCACAUUUUAUUUAUUUUCAUACAUAUAGAUCUAUGAAAGAAAAUUUAUCAAAAAUAUAAACGACUUAUUAACUAAUUAUAAUUGAUUUAUUUUAUUAAUAUUUUAUAUUAGUGUAUGAACAUGGAAGAAUUGCUUAGUAAUCUAUUACAAUAAAGUUGGUUUUCUCACUUCUCAUACUGCCACCUAAGCGAAGGGACUUCUAAAACGUGACACGUGUCUCUUUGCUUUUCCAACUUCAAAAUUUGAUCUUUGCCGUAUGGGCUGCUAACUACACAUAUGAUAUUCAAACUUGAAGCCCAGUUUAUCUUCCAGAUCUCUAUUUGUAGGAGGUCGUUUUUGGGCUUUACAAAUCUUAAGCGUAUGGGCUUAAUAAAAUAAUACCGUGAAGCCCAAC
This 790-nucleotide long non-coding RNA is filed under the name Brassica napus (rape). RNAcentral's name for it is "long non-coding RNA (BNAP_LNC021372)". The record is from RNAcentral. Lineage: Eukaryota; Viridiplantae; Streptophyta; Magnoliopsida; Brassicales; Brassicaceae.